CGUUUAGGGGUAAACCUGAGAAACCCGAAAGGUCGAAGGAAGAAAUUCAUUCGUGUUUCAUUAUUGACGGAAUUGUGUAUGGUUAGACGGCAUAUAUAUCUGAUUAUCAAUUUGAUAAUUAUGGAUGUAUGUGUCGCUACAUAUCAUUUUCGAAUCUGAUGGUGAACACGUGCACUUUUCUUCUGGUAGGACGUCGCGAUCCGUUAGGAAUAUUGUCGGUCUAUGAUUAUUUUGCGGUAUAGUUCAUUGAUACAUAUAUAAUUUAUAUUAUGUAUGAUAGUAUUGAUGAAGCCGUUGUAUCUGGCCGAUUUACCUGACGGUAAACUGAAUGGUUAAAGGUCGCUAUUUUCGAUGAGCGUUAGAGGCGAGACAAGUGUAUCAAUUGGAAAAUGACAUUGUUAGUUUGCAUAUUUAUAUAUGUGAGGUGAUGAUGUUUUCGGUAAUCGGUAUUUAUAUCGAUUCCGAGCCAUUGGUAUAUUGGUGGUCGAGCAUAUCUCUGACCGACCUUAUCAUAUGUGAAUAUGAAACCAAUCUGCGACGCUAUAGCUUUGGGUACUUUCAGGACCCGUCUUGAAACACGGACCAAGGAGUCUAGCAUGUUCGCAAGCCAUUGGGAUAUAAAACCUAUAGGCAAAAUGAAAGUGAAAUCAAUUCAAUUCAGUUUGAAUUGAAGGGAAGAUGUGUAAUGGGUCUUUUCGUAUUGUUCUGCAAUAUGGAAUGACACAUUAUAUCGCAUUCCCGGGGCGUUUAAAUUUCAUUUUUUCCUUUAAUUAGGAAGGAUGAGAUUAUGCGCACCAAGAGUGUACACGCUGGGACCCGAA
This 821-nucleotide ribosomal RNA is filed under the name Platypus cylindrus. Its description in RNAcentral is "partial large subunit ribosomal RNA". It matches the Rfam family "Eukaryotic large subunit ribosomal RNA", at positions 406 to 820 of the family's 3401-position model. The record is from RNAcentral. Lineage: Eukaryota; Metazoa; Arthropoda; Insecta; Coleoptera; Curculionidae.